This 253-nucleotide ribosomal RNA is filed under the name uncultured bacterium. Its description in RNAcentral is "partial 16S ribosomal RNA". It matches the Rfam family "Bacterial small subunit ribosomal RNA", at positions 524 to 776 of the family's 1533-position model. The record is from RNAcentral.
UACGUAGGUGGCAAGCGUUGUCCGGAAUUAUUGGGCGUAAAGAGCGUGUAGGCGGCCAGGUAGGUCCGCUGUGAAAACUCGAGGCUCAACCUCGAGAUGUCGGCGGAAACCAUCUGGCUAGAGUCCGGAAGAGGAGAGUGGAAUUCCCGGUGUAGCGGUGAAAUGCGCAGAUAUCGGGAAGAACACCCGUGGCGAAGGCGGCUCUCUGGGACGGUACUGACGCUGAGACGCGAAAGCGUGGGGAGCGAACAGG